Molecule: non-coding RNA, 95 nt
Organism: Mycena latifolia
Lineage: Eukaryota; Fungi; Basidiomycota; Agaricomycetes; Agaricales; Mycenaceae
Source: the annotation of a GenBank genome assembly
GGCCUGGUGGUGUAGUGGUUACAUGUCCUCGAGUUAUUAAUAUGAUGAAGACAGACUUUAUGAGGAAGUCCCCUGUUCAAAUCAGGGCCAGGCCU